Molecule: ribosomal RNA, 253 nt
Filed under: uncultured bacterium
Lineage: Bacteria
Description: partial 16S ribosomal RNA
Rfam family: Bacterial small subunit ribosomal RNA
Source: RNAcentral
UACGUAGGGUGCAAGCGUUAAUCGGAAUUACUGGGCGUAAAGCGUGCGUAGGCGGUUCGUUAAGUCAGCUGUGAAAGCCCCGGGCUCAACCUGGGAACUGCGGUUGAAACUGGCGAACUAGAAUCUGGCAGAGGGGGGUGGAAUUCCACGUGUAGCGGUGAAAUGCGUAGAGAUGUGGAGGAACACCGAUGGCGAAGGCAGCCCCCUGGGCUGAGAUUGACGCUCAGGCACGAAAGCGUGGGGAGCAAACAGG